This 1085-nucleotide small RNA is filed under the name Oryza sativa Japonica Group (Japanese rice). The record is from RNAcentral. Lineage: Eukaryota; Viridiplantae; Streptophyta; Magnoliopsida; Poales; Poaceae.
CGAUCAUCGGUAGGAAGGAAGCUAGGAAGAAAGAGGAAGAAGAGGGGCCUUGCAUGAGGGCUAGAGCCUGCCUCUGGUAGCCAAGGAUGACUUGCCUAUUGUGCUCUUCUGAAUGAUGCAGUGCCAUGAUCAGUGUGGCCUGGCUGGUUCAGAUGAGCCGAGAUAGGCAGUCUCCUUGGCUAGCCUGAGUGGCUCUUGUCUGUCAUGGAAGGCUUCUGCUUCUCAUUGAUUCAGUGCUGUUCUCAAGUGAUCUGUACACCUAAUGUGCAUGCACACAGGUUAAUGGUGAUCCUUAUAUGUGUGAUACUGCAAUCUUGUGUUGUGUUGGUCAUUGUUGCAACUGUUGGCUACUGUUGUAUUGUUGUUUGUGUGGGUUACUAGUGUUCAUUUUCAUUUUUUUCUAUUCAUUUUGAAACCUUCUUACAAAAUUACCAAGUGGCCACAGGCAUGUGCUUAGUUAUUUGGUACAGCGUCUUGCAGAUCGUUAUAGGGUAUGUUUUAUGUGGAAAAUUUUUCAAGGUCACACCUUACCCACCAUUAAUAAUUUCUCAUGAAAUAUAUUCAUAAUAUUUAUAAACCAAUAUUUUAUGAAAGAUAUACUCCCUCCAUUUUUAAAUACAUGAAUAUGUUAACUUUUAAACAUAUGUUUAAUCAUUUGUUUUAUUAAAAAAUUACAUCAGUAUAAUUUAGUUUGUUUAUAUCACAACUUGUUUUAUCAUUAAUGGUACUUUAAGCAUAAAUUAUAUUUUUACAUAUUUUAAAAAAUAAAAAUGGAGGUAGUAGGAUAUAUUUAUUAUUCGAUUUACAGAGGGAUCAGUACUCUGGUUAAAGUUCUCUUCCUGAUUAGAGUUUUAAUUUCUCCAUCAAAUUUAAGAUGUUUUCUCUAGUUGCAUUUGCAGAAGAGCUCGCCACAGUUUCAACUUUCAGUUCAACAGAAGAGUAUACCUUCGUGGAACCAUGUCUCCCAUUGUAGCAAUAAGAUGAUGAAGGAUGUGUAAGAAUGAACAGAAGAAAAUGCUUUGCAUGUACUACCUGACGUCUCUCUCAAAGGCUAACCUUUUCGCUUUCCGUUUGGAGAGAACUCC